GAGGUUGUGGCUCAGCGGUAGAGCGCUUGCCUAGCAUGCAAGGCCCUCCCUGGGUUCCAUCCUCA
This 65-nucleotide transfer RNA is filed under the name Ictidomys tridecemlineatus (thirteen-lined ground squirrel). RNAcentral describes it as "Spermophilus tridecemlineatus (thirteen-lined ground squirrel) tRNA". It matches the Rfam family "tRNA", at positions 1 to 62 of the family's 71-position model. Rfam says of the family: Transfer RNA (tRNA) molecules are approximately 80 nucleotides in length. Their secondary structure includes four short double-helical elements and three loops (D, anti-codon, and T loops). The record is from Rfam by way of RNAcentral. Lineage: Eukaryota; Metazoa; Chordata; Mammalia; Rodentia; Sciuridae.